This is a long non-coding RNA of Lolium perenne, 1899 nucleotides long. RefSeq lists it as uncharacterized. NCBI's taxonomy places the organism in Eukaryota, Viridiplantae, Streptophyta, Magnoliopsida, Poales, Poaceae. The record is from RefSeq and is a predicted model, not a curated record.
GCGCAAAUGGGCCAAGCCCAACAGAUUUGAGGAAUCGGCUCGCAGUCCAUGUACACCGCGCACCACACGCAUGACCUCGCCCAUCCGCAACGCCGCCUCCCCCAGCGUCCGCCGCCGCCGCGCCGGGCGAGAGCGCCAUGGAUGGUGCUACCGUGCGAGCGCGGCAUGUCAUGGUAGUAUAUUCUCCAUCGUCUUGGGCCAUCUCCGCCGCUGAUUAGAAGCCAUCUGUUCGCUCCUCGUCUCCUCUCUUUCAGCAUCACCGCCACCGCCAGUACCAUCCAUCUCCGCCGCCGAUUGGCGCCGCCAUGGAGCAGCCGGACUACGCUUAUUCCCCAUCUACUCCCUCUCUCGUUCUCGCUGUCGCCGCCGCCCAGUACUGCCGCCUCGCUAUUCUGCUGCUAACCCUAGCCGCCUCUACCCAAGAUGAGGAGAUGCCUUCGACCGCAGCCAUCGUACAUCGGAAUCUACAUGAGCGAAGGUUCAGCAGCGGAGGGCUACAUGGGGCAUCACCAUCCUCCAUAGCAGACGUGAUGCGCAGCGGGACGGUCGGAAGGAGUUCCUUCGAGUCCCCGGCCACAUCUCCGGUGAGCCAUGUCUGGCGGCGGGUGCAGCGUCUGUACAAUCUGGAUCUCACGCCGCUCGAAAGCGGUCGCCUUUUUCAGUUGCGAAGAUCAAGGAUUGAAUUCCAGUUUCUACAGACACAGUAGCCAUCCGUCCUCGCCGCAUGUGCUCCGCCCAACAAGGUACUACAUAUAAUAUUGGCAUUGCAUGUUAUAUGUACAUGUUUAUUGGGUUAACCAUUCACCGAGUGCAUGCAAUAUUUUCCAUCCCACGCGGCGGCGAGGAUGGAGGCAUAGAAGGAGCGUGACGGUGCGGGCUCGCAGCCCUACCUUUCCGAUUCGCCUCCUUAUCUGUAGUGGCUGCCACUCAAUCAAUCUAACCUGCACAAAUCAGAAUAUGGUGGCAGCAUUGCAUGAACGGAUGCAUACAUGUAUCUGAUCCUCUAUGAGUUCAUUAACUACACGAAAAGCUAUACAUGAAUGUUACACCACCAUGCAACACUUGUCGGGACAGGAAGCGUCUUUUGAUAGGACAUCUGAAAUUAAAAUGUGUGUGAUAGAAAAAGGCUUCUACAUGACUAUAUGAUUUGCUGCAUGAGACCAGAUGAUUCUUCUGGUUAAUGCAUUUGUGAGAAAUCCAAGAACAAAGGAGAAACUGGUAUUCAGGGUUAAGAGGGCCAGCCUCAUGGAUUACUUCCAACAACAUCCGGAGGGCGCAGUACUACAUAUUUUGAUUGAUUACCAAGUGUUGGUGUACUAUACUCUUCAGUUCUUCAGAACUUUAUGAACUCGAGUGAGAUUCUCUGAAGAAAAAAGUUAAGGAGACAAUACUCAGUAUCUACUUCAAUCUCAAUUAUAAACACAAGAUGUGUGUGUGUUGUCAAGUGCAAACCUCUGGAGAGUGAUUUCACUAUCAUGCAAUACUUAAGGAUCAAGGUUUGUGGUUGAUACAUUAAAAUUCUGCUCUUUUACUUAUGGUGACAUCCCAAUGCAAAUGGAUCAUUAGGUUUGUUAUGUGCACUACCAUGACCUCCAUCAAUAAUGGUACCAUCUUCUAUAGUUUUAUGGUUGUCAGUCGAGUUCUGCACACAGAUUAGCAAUGAAGGUGCAGUGCUGGAGUUGAAGGUUGAGAUGAGUGGCACACAAAGGAGGAGCGAAUAGAAAUGGAGGCAAAGCUGGUAUAUAUAUUUCUUUUUAAAUUUGGAAUAACGCUAGAGUGACUGGAGUUGGGUAAUGUUGAGCCACCGCGCCUACUAUAUAUAUGUAUAGCAGGACAUUGGAAUAUCUUUCGUGAAAUUGAUUGAGAUAUGUUCAAAUUUAUGAAUUCAUGUGUCAUGAA